Cottoperca gobio is the source of this 1708-nucleotide long non-coding RNA. RefSeq lists it as uncharacterized. The transcript has 2 exons. The record is from RefSeq and is a predicted model, not a curated record. NCBI's taxonomy places the organism in Eukaryota, Metazoa, Chordata, Actinopteri, Perciformes, Bovichtidae.
GGGGACGCUACUGAGAAGCUGGCUCACCAAGUCGCGGCCCAGGUUGCUGCUGCUGAUCGCAGGGUUGAAGAGGCCUCAGGUGACCCUCAUGAGGAGGAAAAGGAUGAAGCGCACAAAAGUAGCAAAGGCCACGUAAGCGAACCUGCAGCCGGAUGCCCCACUUCACCUGAGACCUUAAAGGAGAGGAUCUGCUCGUGAGACAUGGAAGACAAAGAAAAGGAAGACCUGUGUGUUGGAUCUUUGCCCCAGCAACGAACUAAAAUCCAGGAACCACAAAACAGAGUGAAGCAAGAGGACGAACCACAGAGAUUGAGACAGAUUAAUCCGGGUUACACCCAGACCUGGACUACGGCUUCACCCCCUCUCUCGAAAUAUACAUCUGUUUUGGCUCAUUAGACUGUAAUGACUGUGGCUUGUACAUCAUUCCCAUCCCAACACAAACUGUCCCUGUGUUCUCAGUUCAGCCUCUUUCAGGUUUCCAGGUCCGUGUGUUUGAGUCUCAGAAGAGUCCAAACCAGCUGCUGAUUAAACUCUGACGGGACGCCAACUGCUGCCUCACAUUCUUCUGUCAGAUAGAAACUUAACAAGUAGCUCGCUUACACCAUGAAUGUACAAUAAGACGUGGGUACGGCGCCGCGCUCAGCCUUGCUUCCAAUGCCCAAAAAGCAUUUUCCUCAUAGACCACCAUUAUAAAACUGUAAACUGUUGACAGGACACGUUGAAGUGCAAACAAGGUCAAUUAUGAAUCUUUGAUCCAUGGAGGGUUCAUAUUUGUAAAACUUUCCUCGAGCAGAGAAAAUACAUUUUAAAACCUGCUACGUCAUCAAAAUGUAAAGUCUAUGGGUCGGGCGCAUAUUGAGUGGGCCGCAUGACGCCAAAGUUAACCGGGAAGCUAGAAAACCUUUUUGGGGAAUGCGCCAGGCGAGCAGUUUUCAUUGUGUUGAAUAGGCGCCAUCUUUGGGUUCGGUAUCUAUUUCUUAUGCAUCCAUGGCUUCCAUUCAAUACGAAGCGUCACAUGACAUGCACCACAAAAUGUGAACGUUUUCAUUAUUCAAUCCUUGAUGGUAUGAAAAUGAGUAAAUUCGAGAUUCAGACACUGCAUCGUGCUAAUCACUGUUUCGCUUCAUUAUCUGUGCUGUUGUUGCAGGACAUGCAGUCGAGGAACUUGAAGUCUUUAUUUGACUAAAUGAGACAUUUGCAGACUCGAGCUUCUAGGUUUUAGACAAACUUAAUGUUUUUUUUCCAUUUUAUUUUUCAUAAAGUGGGUAGAAUAAGUUUUGGAACAAAACGCUUAAUAUUCGUUGCGUUUGUCAGGACGUAAUCAUAACCACAUGGUUACCACAGACGAUGGAGAGUCUCAUGUGGGAUGUUUGAAUCUCACCAACAUUAUAUUAUGUUCUCUUACAAGCCUCAGGAGAUGGAACUUCAGAAGCUACAUCGCAGAAACAUUUACGCAAAUUUAAAUUGCAUCGAGCCAAAAAUGUCCUUUUAAUAGGAUUUGACUAAGAACGUUGUUGGUUGAGAGAGGACCGUUAUAUCACCAGAUCAGAUAUUAGGAAGUCAGAGAUCAAUGUGAACAUCUUUAUACUGAUUUACACUGAAGAACAGGGGUGUAAUGGUGUGCUUAGAAACUACUUUGAUUUAUUUGAAGCAUUAUAUGGAACAAAAAGUAUUAAAUAAAAUGGUACGCAUUUUUUCUUUUGACCAA